UACGUAGGGGGCAAGCGUUGUCCGGAUUUAUUGGGCGUAAAGAGCGUGUAGGCGGCCAUACAGGUCAGCUGUGAAAACUCGAGCUCAACCUCGAGACGCCGGUGGAAACCAUCAGACUAGAGUCCGGAAGAGGAGAGUGGAAUUCCUGGUGUAGCGGUGAAAUGCGCAGAUAUCAGGAAGAACACCCGUGGCUAAGGCGGCUCUCUAGUACGGUACUGACGCUGAGACGCGAAAGCGUGGGGAGCGAACAGG
Molecule: ribosomal RNA, 252 nt
Filed under: uncultured bacterium
Lineage: Bacteria
Description: partial 16S ribosomal RNA
Rfam family: Bacterial small subunit ribosomal RNA
Source: RNAcentral